GACGAACGCUGGCGGCGUGCCUAACACAUGCAAGUUGAGCGACGAACCAGGGCUUGCCCUGGGGCAAAGCAGCGAACGGGUGAGUAACACGUGGGUAACCUACCCCGAUAACCGGGACAACCCGAGGAAACUCGGGCUAAUACCGGAUGUGCUCACUGGACUUCGGUUCAGUACGUAAAGGAAGCUUCGGCCUCCGUAUCGGGAGGGGCCCGCGGCCCAUUAGUUUGUUGGUGAGGUAACGGCUCACCAAGACCGCGAUGGGUAGCUGGUCUGAGAGGACGAUCAGCCACACUGGGACUGAGACACGGCCCAGACUCCUACGGGAGGCAGCAGUGGGGAAUCUUGCGCAAUGCGCGAAAGCGUGACGCAGCAACGCCGCGUGGGGGAAGAAGGCCUUCGGGUUGUAAACCCCUUUCAGGAGGGACGAAGGUUCGGCGGUGAAUAGCCGUCCGGACUGACGGUACCUCCACAAGAAGCCCCGGCUAACUACGUG
This 493-nucleotide ribosomal RNA is filed under the name uncultured bacterium. RNAcentral describes it as "partial 16S ribosomal RNA". It matches the Rfam family "Bacterial small subunit ribosomal RNA", at positions 28 to 507 of the family's 1533-position model. The record is from RNAcentral.